Folsomia candida is the source of this 3454-nucleotide long non-coding RNA. RefSeq lists it as uncharacterized. The transcript has 6 exons. Lineage: Eukaryota; Metazoa; Arthropoda; Collembola; Entomobryomorpha; Isotomidae. The record is from RefSeq and is a predicted model, not a curated record.
GUAAGUGGGUAUCUACAAAUAAAUAGUGGAAUCUCCAAACUAUCGGAUUUAUACGAAUUGAUUUCUAAUUAAUUUACAGAUCUCUCAAGUCCUUAGAAAUGAAAGGAUAUUCAAGCUACAAACAGAUGUAUUACCUUCUUAACAUUCGUUGUUCUUUGAAGACACUGGUCUUAGAUAGGGUUAAAUUUGAUGAUAUUGGCCAUCGUGUUGACGAACUACCAACAAUUCUAUACAGCGUCCUAAAAACGUUUUCACCCACUUUGGAAAAACUUUCUAUAGAUCUGCGUUGGUGGAUAGGGGGUAAACAAUUAGAAUGGAAAUUCCCAGUGUUUCCGGUUAUGAAAAGGUUGAGGGUCGUAAAUAAUGGUGUGCUCGAAAAAAUUGCAUUUGAAAAUCCCUGUUCAGACGUUUUUGGAAGGAUUGAUUAUAAAGUGUGUUUUCCUGUCUUGGAAAGUUUACAUGUUUGCAUUGAAGCAAUUAAUUUGUCACCGUUGGAUGCAUUUCUUCCGAUGGAAAAUAACGGAUGUUCCAUGGUUGUGGAUUGGGUGAAAGAAAUUGACAUAAGGCGGAUCAGGCUUUUCGUUCGGGCUGUUCCACGAUAGAUAUGACAACCCUUGAGGCGAGAGUGUUGAACAUUUUUCCCAAUGCGAGACGAACGAUAAAUAUUUCGUAAUUGUUACUGAUUAAUCAUGGCGAAAACCUUGAUCAUGUCUUAAUGUUAAUGGACGACUUGGAGAUUAUUGGAUAAUUAAGAAUAAUAAUUAUUAUUCUGCACAUCUUUAAAAUCCUUGUGUAUCCAUUGAAACGUAAAGUGGCUGGAAUAGAGUUCUUGUAAUAUGUUGUUAUAUAGGAGUCAGAAUUUAGUAAAUGUUUUAGGAAAAAAAUUCGUGAUGCGAGUCCAGGGGGACACGGGGACACUGCACCAGUUUUCAGAUGUCCCCCUAAUCUGCCCAUGUUUUAUUAACCCAACCUUCUCCUAUCUCACGAUGUUAAAGUCCCCCCAUGACCCCUCCCCACCUCCGCCGCUUCUGUAAUUAGUAUAAUCUUUUUAAUUUUCAUCCGUAAAUUGUACGUCCCCAUACUAUGCGAUAUAAAGUUAUGUAUGCAUUUAGUGUAAACCAUGCAGUACUGUUGUUAACGGUAAUGAACAUAAGUGUUAAAUUUAGUACUACAACCAAUAAAUAACGGCGUAAUAUUUUUAAAAUUCGAUGAUAAAUGACUAUGGAAAAUUUCCAUAGUCAUGAUUUCCAUUGGAAAUCAUAAGAAAUCAUGGGAUUGUGAGGAACGCGAGGAACUUUCUCUUUUGGUAAAGGAGACAAAGCAAAGGGCCCUUUUGGGAUCCGACAUUUCACCAUUUGCAUCUGUUUAUUUCGCUUGUCCUUCAAUAGAGGCGAGAAAAGUUUGUGAACAUAUAAAUUUCCCAGUAAACCGAAAGUUUUUACUUUUUUGAUUUACAAAGCCUUAGUUAUCGCCGUAAAGAAAGUGAUCAUGUACAGCGAGAAGGAACAAAAAGAUGUCCUGUAUUAUAAAAUAAAUGGAGCAAAAAGUGCAAAAACAUUUUGAACUCGUAAAGAAUCGAACCCGUGAACACUAUCGUCACAACCCGGCGCUCUAACCACUAUACCCCCACCUCCUUGCAUAGUAAAUAUUGUAAAGAACUCGUAUUUAUUUUUCAUUCGAUAGAAAUAAAAAGUUUUAAAUUGUCUCUCAGUCAUUCAUUUGACCUCUAAUCAAAAAAAUUGCAAUUUAAAACAGAUUCACCUUAACCUGGAGAAAUUUUAAAACUCCUAUGUUAUUUGUUCAAGUUUAAUUUUACCCCCUUCAAACCGCGAUUUUUAACGUUUAGCCGUGAGAAUUGUGAGACCUUUUGCGUGGUCACCCUAAAAGCAUACUGUUGGCUUCGCCGGGCCCCACCUGAGCAUAUGCAUGCUUUGGUUCUGUGAGGGGCCCGCUUUAUGGGGCCCCUCCGGGCCCCGCCUCACCUCAGAAUAAAACCAGCAUCUCCAACUCCGGACCUGUUCUUAUUACAGAUGUUAUUAGUCCUCUCUGUAAAUUUCUUCACAUCACGGACAUCAAGGAGUGUCGGCUAGUCUGCCAAUCUUGGAAUUAUGGAGCUACCCCUGUCCUUAAGUCUAGAACGAGGACAAGCUUUGAAUUAUGUCCCGAACCAGAUAUUUUAGAUCUCGUAGAAAAAUCAAACUUCUCUCCUGUCAACGUUUAUCUCAAGAAAGAACCCGGACUUAGUCCGGGUUCUUUCUAGAUCCAGAGUAAAUAGUCCGGCGGACUAUUUACUCUGGAUCUAGAAAUGCUGCCUCACAUCGGGAAUCUUAAAUCAAUUCAUCUCGAUUACUCUGUUCGUUAUGGACAAUAUGAUAGUUCGCUGGAAUUCUGUAAGAAAAUUAUCCUGGCGUAGUCCCACAAUCUGGAAGAGUUAGAGUUGAAGUGGGGUUAUGGCUUCCCUCCUUUACAAGGUACCAUCUUCCCAAAAUUUAAAAAACUCGUGACACGUCGUAUCUGGGAUAGUGUCUUUUACCACGUGCCCAUCACUGAUCUUGGUCAGGCAAUUGCGGAGUCGUUCCCAAAUUUGGAAUCUUUUGAGGCAGAAUGCAAAACUUUGUGCAACUUGUGAAAGUUACAAAUGAUAGAAAAAUUUCCCAGAUCACUGAAUUCUUUAACCAUUGUGGAAUCUUAUGAGUUCCUGGUCGAUGGAUUACGGUGUUUACUGGACAUUCCUCAUAAUUUGAAGAGACUUACCUUAAAGUCGUUGUUCAUACGGGAUAACAUUGAUCUGGUAGAUCUGUCGUCAAUUUUUUACAACAUUUUAAAGAAACAUUCGCCCGCGCUGGAAGAACUUUACACGACAUACGACGCAGGAGUUUCGAAAGUGGAUUGGAAAUUUCCAGUUCUUCCAAAAAUUAAAAUAUUGCAUAUAUUUGCAGAUAUGUUUAAGAAAGUUAAAUUCGAAAGUAGUCUCGGCUCAGGGUGUUUCGAAGGGAUUGAUUACCAGAAGUGUUUUCCUGUCUUGGAAAACUUGCAUAUUGACACGAGAACAUAUGAUUUUUCUGGUAUAACUGCAUUUCUUCCGUUGGAUGCUGACCAAUAUCAGGUAUUGGAAUCGCUGAAAGAAGUUGAAGUAAAUUUUUUGCCAUAUGAUUAUUCUAACAAUGGUUUGACAGAGUAUCCGAAAUCAGUUCAGGUUCGCAUAUACAGGCAAUUGUUCGCUAUCUUUCCAAACGCGAGAGAUUCGAUUAAUAAGCAGUUAAUGACAAUUAAUAUGUCAUAAUUUGUUUUGUGUGUCGUUAUGAAAGUUGCACAUGUUUAUCUAGCGAAGGUUACAAGUCUAGUUAAUUUAAUGUACUUGACAACUUGUUAUGUAAGUAUGCAUGUAUGUAUAAAUUAUUGCUAAGCAGCAUUGAUUGAUGUGUUGAAUUCAGGUGUACUACAUAUAUUACAU